Dalotia coriaria is the source of this 2409-nucleotide long non-coding RNA. RefSeq lists it as uncharacterized. The transcript has 4 exons. The record is from RefSeq and is a predicted model, not a curated record. NCBI's taxonomy places the organism in Eukaryota, Metazoa, Arthropoda, Insecta, Coleoptera, Staphylinidae.
UCCGCACACGUGGUCUCGCGAAAAUUACGCACCGCGCACUGUGUUUAUCCGUCUCGGCGUGCGCAUAGUAUUCCAUUCUCUCCGCGCUUUGCACCACACGCCGCCAGUCAUUGCCGCACCAUUGGCGUAUUAAUAGGUCGAGCGUAGUAGUAGUACUACCGCUGCGCAGGAGCAAAGCAACAGCUAGGUCUCUCUGUGUGUAACUCUGCGACGCAGCCAAGGACGCAAGAAACCUCUAAUCGACUUAAGGACGUUCGUUUGUUGGUUGAGCAAGUCUCUCACCGAGUCAAGUCAACUGAGGUUGACUUAAGCCAUUAAUCGAUAGUCAAUGGUCGAUAUACAGUGAUGAAAUCUUUAUACCAACAGCUCUUCGAUUUGCCGUCUUACAUAACUGUAUUUGCCGUGACUUGGAGUCCGGGGAGUUCUGCAUUGGUAAGUUGGUAAGUUUGUGAUUCAAUUAUAGUUUUUGUUUUAAUUGUUGCGUCGAACAUUAGUUGGUAUUUAUGUAGUUUAAGUGGCGUCCAAAGAUGCGGAAUUAAAUUCUCUGUCGGGUUGUAUUUGUUUGUUGCAGGAAUUCGCCCUGCAAUCCGGGAAAAUUUGCAUAAAAGGGUGAUAUUUUUACCUUUUUUUGUGAAAUAUUGGUGUUCUUUUGGUUUUGCUCGCGAUCUAGGCUGCUCAAUAAUUUUAGUGCGACGUCAAAAGAUGCGGAAUUAAAUUCUCUAUUGGGGUGUAUUUGUUUGUUGCAGGAAUUCGACUUGUAACACACGACAAUUUCCAUAAAAGGGUGAUUUUUCACUCUUUGUCGUGAAAUGUUUGUGUUUUUCGACUUUGCUAGCGAUCUAGGCGGCUCAAUAACUUCUACGCGGCGUCAAAAGAUGCGGAAUUAAAUUCUCUGUCGGGCUGUAUUUGUAUGCUGCAGAAUUCCAUUUGCAACCCACGACAAUUUUCAUAAAAGGGUGAUUUUUCAUUCUUUGUCGUGAAAUGUUUGUGUUUUUCGACUUUGCUAGCGAUCUAGGCUGCUCCAUAACUUCAGCGUGGCGUCAAUAGAUGCGGAAUUAAAUUCUUUAACGGGUUGUAUUUGUUUGUUGCAGGAAUUUGACUUGCAAUCCGCAAAAAUUUCGUAAAAGGGUGAUAUUUUCACCCUUUUCGUGAAAUUUUGUGUUUUUUUCGGCUUUGCUCGCGAUCUAGGCGGCUCAAUAACUUCAGUGCGACGUCAAAAGAUGCGGAAUUAAAUUCUCUAUCAGGGUGUAUUUGUUUUUUGCAAGAAUUUGAUCUGCAACCCGCCAAAAUUUGCAUAAAAGGUGAUAUUUUCACCGUUUUUCGUGAAAUAUUUGUGUUUUUUUGGCUUUGCUCCCAAUCUAGGUGGCUCGAUAAUUUCAGCGUGGCGUCAAAAGAUGCGGCGGAAUUAAAUUCUAUGUCGGGUUGUAUUUGUAUUUUGCAGGAAUUCGAUCUGCAACCCGCAAACAUUUGUAUAAAAGGGUGCUAUUUUCACACUUUUCGUGAAAUAUUUGUAUUUUUCGGCUCUGCUCACGAUCUAGGCGGCUCCAUAAUUUCAGCGUGGCGUCAAAAGAUGCGGAAUUAAAUUCUCUGUCGGGUUGUAUUUGUUUGUUGCAGGAAUUCGACCUGCAAUCCGCGAAAAUUUGCAUAAAAAUGUGAUAUUUUUACCCUUUUUCGUGAAAUAUUUGUAUUUUUUCAAGUUUGCACGCGAUUUUGGAGGCUCUGAAAAUUUAGCGCGACGCCUAGAGAUGCGAAAUUAAAUUCUCCGUCGGGUGGUAUAUGUUUGUUGCAGGAAUUCGAUUUGCAACCUGCGAAAAUUUGCAUAAGAAGGUAAUUUCUUCACCCGUUAUCGUGAAAUAUUUGUCUUUUUUCGGGUUUGCACGCGAUCUUGGCGUUUUUUUGGUUUUCUUUUGUUAGUUUUCCUAACACUACGUAGAUAAUCGCCGGUAUUCGAGUGUUUUGAGUGUUCUUUGUUUCAACUACAGAUUUUCUUUCUGAAACACCCUGUAUAUUCAUUUUUCUUUGUAUCCGUGAAAAUUUUGCUUUAACUGUUGUUUUUAAAGUUAUUAUCAUUGCCCUUUGAAUUUUCUUUUUGUGACACCCUGUAUAUUAGUUUCCCGGAGCCUCUGGUGAAAAACGAAUGAUAUUUGUAGUGUUAAAAUGUUUUUCUGUUUUCACAUUAAAUUUUUGAUUUGUAACACUUUGUAUAUUUGUUUCCAUUUUUAAUCACAUGGAAAAUGAGCUAUUUGCUAAUUUCUGUAUCCCGGUAGAACAUUAUUACGUGGUACUUGCUUAUAUGUGCGUGGCGAUGCAGCUCGUAAGUCCUGUUUCAAUAUGGCGACAUGUAUUCUGUUGACUUGUAAAGUCUAAACUUGUAUUCUAUUAUUAAUAAAGAAAUAGUAAGAUAUAUUG